ACCUUAGCAAUGUGCGAAAGCACGACUGGGUCAGUCCGAGUGAUUCCUGAUAAAGGAGUCUUUUGCUUGUCCUAAAAGCACAGGUGAAUAAGGGGUGGGCAAGUCUGGUGUCAGCCGCCGCGGUAAUACCAGCACCUCGAGUGGUCAGGACGUUUAUUGGGCCUAAAGCAUCCGUAGCCGGCUUUGCAAGUCUUCGGUUAAAUCCACCUGCUCAACAGAUGGGCUGCUGGAGAUACUACAAAGCUAGGGAGUGGGAGAGGCAGACGGUAUUCAGUGGGUAGGGGUAAAAUCCUCUGAUCCAUUGAGGACCACCAGUGGCGAAGGCGGUCUGCCAGAACACGUUCGACGGUGAGGGAUGAAAGCUGGGGGAGCAAACCGGAUUAGAUACCCGGGUAGUCCCAGCUGUAAACGAUGCAAACUCGGUGAUGCAUUGGCUUAUGGCCAAUGCAGUGCCGCAGGGAAGCCGUUAAGUUUGCCGCCUGGGAAGUACGGACGCAAGUCUGAAACUUAA
RNAcentral lists this ribosomal RNA (511 nucleotides) under uncultured archaeon. RNAcentral's name for it is "bacterial SSU rRNA". It matches the Rfam family "Archaeal small subunit ribosomal RNA", at positions 346 to 859 of the family's 1478-position model. The record is from RNAcentral.